Molecule: ribosomal RNA, 250 nt
Filed under: uncultured bacterium
Lineage: Bacteria
Description: partial 16S ribosomal RNA
Rfam family: Bacterial small subunit ribosomal RNA
Source: RNAcentral
AACUGAUGGCGACCGGCGCACGGGUGAGUAACACGUAUCCAACCUGCCCUUUACUCGGGGAUAGCCUUUCGAAAGAAAGAUUAAUACCCGAUAGCAUAAUGAUUCCGCAUGGUUUCAUUAUUAAAGGAUUCCGGUAAAGGAUGGGGAUGCGUUCCAUUAGGUUGUUGGUGAGGUAACGGCUCACCAAGCCUUCGAUGGAUAGGGGUUCUGAGAGGAAGGUCCCCCACAUUGGAACUGAGACACGGUCCAA